Long non-coding RNA from Malus domestica (apple), 753 nucleotides. RefSeq lists it as uncharacterized. Lineage: Eukaryota; Viridiplantae; Streptophyta; Magnoliopsida; Rosales; Rosaceae. The record is from RefSeq and is a predicted model, not a curated record.
CUCACUACUCAACUCUCUCUCUUCACUUAUCUCUCUCAGAACCCUCUACCUCUCCCCGUCUCUUUGAGCUGCACCGAGAUGGUGCAAUGGCAAACACCAAGCCCGAUGACGCACCCACCAAACCACCUUCAUCCUUUUGGCUCAUCUCAAACACUCUCUCGGCUUGAUAUUGUGCUUAAUGCACAGAUGUAGCAAUGACACCAUCGUCAUACUUCCUGACGAGAUUUCAUGAUUUUCCCGCUGAACCUUCGUCGUUCACAAACUUGGUUUUAGUGCUGAGUUUUCGUGUCAACUAGGAUUCUUGGCAAAUCUUGAUAUAGGUGUUUACCUUCGAUGGUGCAUUGAAGGAUCGAGAUUACAAUGUAGCAAAUUUGUGUGCUAUUGACGACGUCACCCAAGAGGGUAGUACAGGAGCUUGGUCGAGGUGCUAAUUAGACGAUUUAUAUGUAUUUCCCAAUGAGGGGCAAGAUGGUAAUAUUGCACCCUCAGAAAUUUUUUACGUGCUUACAGAGACAAUGGUGAGCUGUCGAUAUCGCAGACUGCAGACCGUAAUAUCAAUAACUUAUUCGUUGUGUUUGUUAAACAAGUGGACAAGUAGGGUUUUUUAUGUUAGCAUUUUUAGUUAUUUAUUGUUUGGGCAUGACCCAAAGAUAUCACACAUUUAUCUUCAGAGUACGUGACGCUACGAGUGCGUAAUUUCUAUGUUACGUGACGCUACGAGUGCGUAAUUUCUAUGUUCAGUUUUAAUUUCAG